UCUCUGGUAGUCUAGUGGGUAGGACUCAGCGCUUUCACUGCUGUGGCCUGGGAUUAGUUCCUGGUCCGGGAA
Molecule: transfer RNA, 72 nt
Filed under: Sus scrofa (pig)
Lineage: Eukaryota; Metazoa; Chordata; Mammalia; Artiodactyla; Suidae
Rfam family: tRNA
About the family: Transfer RNA (tRNA) molecules are approximately 80 nucleotides in length. Their secondary structure includes four short double-helical elements and three loops (D, anti-codon, and T loops).
Source: Rfam by way of RNAcentral